This 364-nucleotide long non-coding RNA is filed under the name Physcomitrium patens. Its description in RNAcentral is "long non-coding RNA (PPAT_LNC012088)". Lineage: Eukaryota; Viridiplantae; Streptophyta; Bryopsida; Funariales; Funariaceae. The record is from RNAcentral.
AAAUUAGAGUUAUUUUUGUAAGCUAUAAAUGAGAUAUUAUAUGAUAGAUUGUUUCUCUUUCUUUAAGAUGAGAUUGUAAAAGAUAAUUUUACCACCGAUUGGAGAAGAUUGGAAGAGGCAAUGAGCCUCUUUGCCAAGCAACAAUAUAAAGAGGAUUUAGAGCAAAGAUAAAAACAAAAUCAAUGAUAGCUAUAAAGGCUCUAGCAACCACUUUAUCUACUUCUAUUCUAUCAAAUUCUUUAAAAAAUAAGAUUGUAGAUGAAAAAAUCCUUGAAAAUUUUAUGAGAGGCAUGAGAGAGUUGAAGAUAGAAAUGAAUGUUUUGAAGAAAAAUACAAGGUCAAACUCUUCACGAUCAGCUAAAAU